CCUACGGGGGGCAGCAGUGGGGAAUAUUGGGCAAUGGGCGCAAGCCUGACCCAGCAACGCCGCGUGAAGGACGAAGGCUUUCUGGUUGUAAACUUCUUUUCUCAGGGACGAAGCAAGUGACGGUACCUGAGGAAUAAGCCACGGCUAACUACGUGCCAGCAGCAGCGGUAAUCCGUAGGUGGCAAGCGUUAUCCGGAUUUACUGGGUGUAAAGGGCGUGUAGGCGGGACUGGAAGUCAGAUGUGAAAACCAUGGGCUCAACCUAUGGCCUGCAUUUGAAACUGUAGUGCUUGAGUACUGGAGAGGCAGACGGAAUUCCUAGUGUAGCGGUGAAAUGCGUAGAUAUUAGGAGGAACACCAGUGGCGAAGGCGGUCUGCUGGACAGCAACUGACGCUGAGGCGCGAAAGCGUGGGGAGCAAACAGGAUUAGAUACCCCUGUAGUC
This 443-nucleotide ribosomal RNA is filed under the name uncultured bacterium. Its description in RNAcentral is "partial 16S ribosomal RNA". It matches the Rfam family "Bacterial small subunit ribosomal RNA", at positions 338 to 795 of the family's 1533-position model. The record is from RNAcentral.